RNAcentral lists this ribosomal RNA (253 nucleotides) under uncultured bacterium. RNAcentral describes it as "partial 16S ribosomal RNA". It matches the Rfam family "Bacterial small subunit ribosomal RNA", at positions 524 to 776 of the family's 1533-position model. The record is from RNAcentral.
UACGUAGGGGGCAAGCGUUGUCCGGAUUUAUUGGGCGUAAAGCGCACGUAGGCGGCCUUUCAAGUCGGAUGUGAAAGCCCCGAGCUUAACUCGGGAACUGCAUUUGAUACUGUUGGGCUAGAGACCGGGAGAGGAUAGCGGAAUUCCCAGUGUAGAGGUGAAAUUCGUAGAUAUUGGGAAGAACACCAGUGGCGAAGGCGGCUAUCUGGACCGGUACUGACGCUGAGGUGCGAAAGCGUGGGGAGCGAACAGG